RNAcentral lists this ribosomal RNA (269 nucleotides) under uncultured bacterium. RNAcentral's name for it is "partial 16S ribosomal RNA". It matches the Rfam family "Bacterial small subunit ribosomal RNA", at positions 28 to 297 of the family's 1533-position model. The record is from RNAcentral.
GACGAACGCUGGCGGCGUGCUUAACACAUGCAAGUCGAGCGGUAAGGCCCUUUCGGGGGUACACGAGCGGCGAACGGGUGAGUAACACGUGGGUGACCUGCCCUUAGCUCUGGGAUAAGCCUGGGAAACUGGGUCUAAUACCGGAUAUGACUCCAUAACGCAUGUUGUGGGGUGGAAAGCCUUGUGCGGCUAGGGAUGGGCCCGCGGCCCUAUCAGCUUGUUGGUGGGGUGAUGGCCUACCAAGGCGACGACGGGUAGCCGGCCUGAGA